GGACAACCUGCCCUGAGGACUGGAAUAAUCCCGGGAAACUGGGGGUAAUUCCAGAUAUGUCAGAACUCCUGGAAUGGGUUCUGGCAGAAAUGCUCCGGCGCCUCAGGAUGGGUCUGCGGCCUAUCAGGGUAGUAGUGGGUGUAACGUACCCACUAGCCUACGACGGGUACGGGUUGUGAGAGCAAGAGCCCGGAGAUGGAUUCUGAGACAUGAAUCCAGGCCCUACGGGGUGCAGCAGGCGCGAAAACUUUACAAUGCGGGCAACCGCGAUAAGGGGACCUCGAGUGCUGGGCUACAAACCUGGCUGUUGGGCUGCCUAAAAAGCAGUCUAUAGCAAGGGCCGGGCAAGACCGGUGCCAGCCGCCGCGGUAACACCGGCGGCUCGAGUGGUAACCGCUGUUAUUGGGUCUAAAGGGUCUGUAGCCUGCCGGCUAAGUCUCUUGGGAAAUCUGGCAUCUCAAGUGUCAGGCUGCCAGGGGAUACUGGUCAGCUUGGGACCGGGAGAGGUGAGAGGUACCUCAGGGGUAGGGGUGAAAUCUUGUAAUCCUUGAGGGACCACCAGUGGCGAAGGCGUCUCACCAGAACGGAUCCGACGGCAAGGGACGAAAGCUAGGGGCACGAACCGGAUUAGAUACCCGGGUAGUCCUAGCCGUAAACGAUACUCGCUAGGUGUCGGCCACGGUGCGACCGUGGUCGGUGCCGUAGGGAAGCCGUGAAGCGAGCCACCUGGGAAGUACGGCCGCAAGGCUGAAACUUAA
This 758-nucleotide ribosomal RNA is filed under the name uncultured archaeon. RNAcentral describes it as "bacterial SSU rRNA". It matches the Rfam family "Archaeal small subunit ribosomal RNA", at positions 102 to 859 of the family's 1478-position model. The record is from RNAcentral.